UUAAAGUGGCAGAAAAGUGCAAGGAAUUUAAGCUUCCUUAAUGAAAUUAUUUCCUUUAAUA
This 61-nucleotide transfer RNA is filed under the name Dermacentor steini. RNAcentral describes it as "tRNA-Leu". Lineage: Eukaryota; Metazoa; Arthropoda; Arachnida; Ixodida; Ixodidae. The record is from RNAcentral.